Molecule: long non-coding RNA, 1528 nt
Filed under: Fragaria vesca (wild strawberry)
Lineage: Eukaryota; Viridiplantae; Streptophyta; Magnoliopsida; Rosales; Rosaceae
Description: long non-coding RNA (FVES_LNC004157)
Source: RNAcentral
CCGGAGAGAUCACGAUCGGAGGUCCACCAUGAUCGGUCGUGAAGUUCUGAGUGAGAUUGCUGCACAGACCUCUGAUCGAUCUCUCUGGCCUUCUUCUUCAUUCCAACACCGUCGGGGGAGGUCUGGGAUCACGCCGGGGAGAAGAAACGGCGUCUCCGGCGCUGGAACGGUGGAGAAACGGUAGAAAUCCGUAUCGAAAAACGGUGCGGAUGUCCGUAACAGAGACGACCUAUAUAUAUAUAGGCCCGUUCUGAAGUGCACGUUCGCACUUUUCUUAAAAUGCGCACGUCCCUCCAUUUGCCAUCGUCCGACGCCGACGACGGCGCGCCUCCACCCCAGAAGACUCCAACAGCGUCCCCAACCACUUUUUCUCCCCGGCGAGUCCGUUCUUUUCUAGUUUUCUGGUGAGAUCACCCAAGAUCGACUUUAUUUGAAGUUUUGGAUGAUCUCGCCAGAAAACUGGAAACGAACGGACUCGUUGGGAAGAGAAAGUGGUCGGGGACGCUGCUUGAGUCUUCUGGAGUGGAGGUGCGGCGUCAUCGGCGCCGGAGGAAAGUGCGUACGUGCGCUUCAGAACGUUUCUAUGUGUAUAUAUAUAUAUACGGACAGGAUCAGAAGAGGACGUCCGCAAACCCGUAAAAGUGUGGACGUCCCUGCUUUUGCAGCGAUCAAGGGUCGGCGGCGGCCCUUCUCUUCCCGAACGGACACCAAACCUCGAUCGUGAGCUUCCUCUUGCCGGCGGACUCGCCAAAUACCAGUUUGCAGCCGAGAUUGAUGUUGUCUGAAGUUUUGGGUGGAGGUUGCUACCCAGACCUUCAACUCCGAUCUCCAUGGCCUUCAUCUUCAUGUUAAACAUGUCCGGGAUGCCUCUGGUGUCCGUCCGGCAAGAGAAGGGACAUCGUCGGCGCUUGAUCGCUGCAAAAGUAGGGACGUCUGCACUUUUACGGGUUUGCGAACGUCCGUCUGUGAUCCCGACUGUAUAUAUACAUAUAUACAGGCUGUCUCUACUGCAGACGUCCGUACGGAUUUCCGCCGUUUCUCUACCAUUCCAGCGCCGGCGACACCGUUUCUUCUCCCCAUCGUGAUCCCAAACCUCCCUCGACGGUGUUGGAAUGAAGAAGAAGGCCGGAGAGAUCGAUCGGAGGUCUGUGCAGCAAUCUCACUCAGAACUUCACGACCGAUCAUGGUGGACCUCCGAUCGUGAUCUCUCGGGCCUUCUUCUUCAUUCCAACAUCGUCGGGAGAGGUCUGGGAUCACGCUGGGGAGAAGAAACGGCGUCGCCGGCGCUGGAAUGGUGGAGAAACGGCGGAAAUCCGUACGGAAAACCCGUACAAACGUCCACACCUGAGACAAACUGUAUAUAUAUACGGUCCCCUUCCAGAGUGGAAUCCCGCUUUGAAAUUAAAGUGUGGGACUCCUUAUUUCACUCACUUUCAUAUCGUAUUUUCACAUCUCAACCGUACAAUGUCUAAAACACAGUGUGUAGAUCAUUCCCAAAGUUUCAUCAAAUUUAAAAAUCAUUUGGGUA